GCUUCGCUCGCUUCGCCCGCUAGCGAGGAGCACAAAAAAUGGAGACGUUCAACGUUCGUUAAGGAAGCAUUGUUGAUCACCAUGGAGGUGAAACGGUCACGGUAACUUUCCCACUCCGUGAACUUUCCAUCGAAGGACGGCAAUUGUAUCUUUGGUGUGACCUGGGCUAGCAUUUCCGCCAUGAAGUCCAUUGCUUCCUGAUACCGCUCCUCGGCCUGGAUAAAAUGAUUCUCAACGAAGUACGCAUGGUCAUCCGGUUUUGGGUUGUUGCUGCGGUCAUCUUGGUUUGCCCCAGCUUCUUGAAAUUGGUGGACGAGUACCUGGUUGAUUUUCCUCGAUCCCAAUCCGGCUCGAAGGACCAAUUUUAUGUAGGCGAUUGUGUGGA
This is a long non-coding RNA of Osmia bicornis bicornis, 385 nucleotides long. RefSeq lists it as uncharacterized. The record is from RefSeq and is a predicted model, not a curated record. The transcript has 4 exons. NCBI's taxonomy places the organism in Eukaryota, Metazoa, Arthropoda, Insecta, Hymenoptera, Megachilidae.